UUGGAGGGCAAGUCUGGUGCCAGCAGCCGCGGUAGUUCCAGCUCCAAUAGCGUAUAUUAAAGUUGUUGCAGUUAAAAAGCACGUAGUUGAAUUUCGGGGUUAGUAGGUUGGUCAUGCCACUGGUAUGUACUGGUCUCACUGAUUCCUCCUUCCUGAUGAGCCGUAAUGCCAUUAAUUUGGUGUUGCGAGGAAUCUGGACUGUUACUUUGAAAAAAUUAGAGUGUUUAAAGCAAGCUAACGCUUGAAUACAUAGCAUGGAAUAAUGAAAUAGGACGUUCGAUCCUAUUUUGUUGGUUUCUAGGAUUGACGUAAUGAUUAAUAGGGAUAGUUGGGGGCAUUAGUAUUCAAUUGUCAGAGGUGAAAUUCUUGAAUUUAUUGAAGACUAACUACUGCGAAAGCAUUUGCCAAGGAUGUUUUCAUUAAUCAAGAACGAAAGUUAGGGGAUCGAAGACGAUCAGAUACCGUCGUAGUCUUAACCAUAAACUAUGCCGACUAGGGAUCGGAUGAUGUUAAUUUUUUAAUGACUCAUUCGGCGCCUUACGGGAAACCAAAGUGUUUGGGUUC
This 564-nucleotide ribosomal RNA is filed under the name uncultured Glomeromycotina. RNAcentral's name for it is "SSU rRNA". It matches the Rfam family "Eukaryotic small subunit ribosomal RNA", at positions 548 to 1114 of the family's 1831-position model. Lineage: Eukaryota; Fungi; Glomeromycota. The record is from RNAcentral.